UUAGGAAUUUUGCGCAAUGGGCGAAAGCCUGACGCAGCAACGCCGCGUGAGUGAUGAAGGCCUUCGGGUUGUAAAGCUCUUUUAGCAGGGGCGAAAAAAAUGACGGUACCUGCAGAAAAAGCACCGGCUAACUCUGUGCCAGCAGCCGCGGUAAUACAGAGGGUGCAAGCGUUAUUCGGAGUUAUUGGGCGUAAAGAGCGCGUAGGCGGCUCGGUAAGUUUGGUGUGAAAUCCCUGGACUCAAUCCAGGAAGUGCAUUGAAUACUGUCGAGCUAGAGUGCAGGAGAGGUGAGCGGAAUUCCUGGUGUAGAGGUGAAAUUCGUAGAUAUCAGGAGGAACAACAGAGGCGAAGGCGGCUCACUGGACUGAUACUGACGCUGAGGCGCGAAAGCGUGGGGAGCAAACAGG
RNAcentral lists this ribosomal RNA (407 nucleotides) under uncultured bacterium. Its description in RNAcentral is "bacterial SSU rRNA". It matches the Rfam family "Bacterial small subunit ribosomal RNA", at positions 355 to 776 of the family's 1533-position model. The record is from RNAcentral.